GGGAGCGACUUGGCUUCGACAGGAGUAAGUCUGCUUAGAUGGCAUGUCGCUUUGGGCAAAGCGUAAAAAGCCCAAAUAAAAUUAAACGCAAACAACGUUAAAUUCGCUCCUGCUUACGCUAAAGCUGCGUAAGUUUAGUUGAGCCUGAAAUUUAAGUCAUACUAUCUAGCUUAAUUUUCGGUCAUUUUUGAUAGUGUAGCCUUGCGUUUGACAAGCGUUGAGGUGAAAUAAAGUCUUAGCCUUGCUUUUGAGUUUUGGAAGAUGAGCGAAGUAGGGUGAAGUAGUCAUCUUUGCUAAGCAUGUAGAGGUCUUUGUGGGAUUAUUUUUGGACAGGGGUUCGAUUCCCCUCGCUUCCACCA
RNAcentral lists this transfer-messenger RNA (359 nucleotides) under Campylobacter jejuni. It matches the Rfam family "transfer-messenger RNA". Rfam says of the family: Bacterial tmRNA, also known as 10Sa RNA or SsrA, is named for its dual tRNA and mRNA-like properties. Lineage: Bacteria; Pseudomonadati; Campylobacterota; Epsilonproteobacteria; Campylobacterales; Campylobacteraceae. The record is from RNAcentral. RNAcentral also lists the same sequence under 2 other names.